UGGGGAAUAUUGGACAAUGGGCGAAAGCCUGAUCCAGCCAUGCCGCGUGUGUGAAGAAGGUCUUCGGAUUGUAAAGCACUUUAAGUUGGGAGGAAGGGCAGUAAGCGAAUACCUUGCUGUUUUGACGUUACCGACAGAAUAAGCACCGGCUAACUCUGUGCCAGCAGCCGCGGUAAUACAGAGGGUGCAAGCGUUAAUCGGAAUUACUGGGCGUAAAGCGCGCGUAGGUGGUUCGUUAAGUUGGAUGUGAAAGCCCCGGGCUCAACCUGGGAACUGCAUCCAAAACUGGCGAGCUAGAGUAGGGCAGAGGGUGGUGGAAUUUCCUGUGUAGCGGUGAAAUGCGUAGAUAUAGGAAGGAACACCAGUGGCGAAGGCGACCACCUGGGCUCAUACGGACACUGAGGUGCGAAAGCGUGGGGAGCAAACAGG
Molecule: ribosomal RNA, 429 nt
Filed under: bacterium
Lineage: Bacteria
Description: partial 16S ribosomal RNA
Rfam family: Bacterial small subunit ribosomal RNA
Source: RNAcentral